Athene cunicularia (burrowing owl) is the source of this 2034-nucleotide long non-coding RNA. RefSeq lists it as uncharacterized. NCBI's taxonomy places the organism in Eukaryota, Metazoa, Chordata, Aves, Strigiformes, Strigidae. The transcript has 3 exons. The record is from RefSeq and is a predicted model, not a curated record.
GUGUCCCGCUGCAUCGCCACCUCUGCCGGCCCGCUCGGGCACCCGCCAGCCUCACAGGUUCCCUUUCCUAGAAGUCCACUAGCUGCUCGUUUUUCAUUAUUUAAAUAGGAUGUUACGGGUAACAGCUGCUGGGCCCAGCAGCAGUUCAGCUUGAUAGAGCUUCACAAUCCAAAGGCGGUUCCGUAAAUCUCGUUUACUUUCUGACUGUUAAAUGAGACAAGCGCGUAUUUUCUCAGGAAAGCCUUCUGCAUACAGCCUAUACCUCAAGUGUAAAUGGGAAGAUUUUAGUGUAUCUGUUUGUAAGUUAGAAAGUAUUUCUCAGCUUUUAAGUUUAAUUUCCAAAUAGCUUGAUAUGAUCUUUUUAUUACGGGUUAUCUUCUGGCUUGCUGUUUUAUAACACUCAAGGAAUUGUUAAAAUUGCAUAGGAGUAAUUUUAUUCUACAGUUACUGAAUUAUUAUAAUCUGUUGAUGAAUAAGAGUUUGUUUUAAUUAGUGUACAUAAAAAUGGUCAUCUUGCUGCCAAAUACCCAACCAAAAUAAUCUGCUGGGGGUUCUGUGCUUAUCCAAAACAGACUCCUAAGACUAAUGCUGUACCAACAGCAACAAAACAACCUGAAUUCAUUUAUGCUGAUGAAUGGACAAGAACGUUCUACUUUCUGUUGUAUAAAGCAAAUUUUACGAAGGUUGAUUGGCAGCAGUGUCUGUUAAGGAAUAACCCAUUUGUUGUAGGGAGUAGAAAAGCCUUGCUAAACUGACAAGUAAGGCAGAAGCCGAUAUACCGAACCAGUCUAGCUCACCGGACAGUCGUUCUUAAUAUCUUCUGCACCAAGUCCUCUAACGACUUGUAUUUUUUAAACAGGGUAAAGUGAAUGUGUUGCAUUGCAAACUCAGGUAUUAUGAGAGGGUAGGAAUGUAGCUAGAGAUGUAGAGACGUUAGGUCAGUCACUAGAUGUAUUUGUGAAUUUGGUUUGAAGGACGCCCUGGAAAGGUUGGAGUUUUUGUUCCAUUCUUCACGUAACAUUCGGUUUACAGGGACUCAUAUUUUAUUUGUGCUUAAUGCUAGUAGGGGGAAGUUCAUUAUCUUUGGUAUCUAUCUGCUCUUGCUUAUCUGACCUUCUGUCAUAGAGGAAUCAAUCAACAAUAAUAGUCUUUGGUAGAAUUUUCUGCCAUGACAAGUCAAUUUUUAUCCCCGAUUUGAAAGAUAAAUUGGCUGGCUGACCCCCUCCUCUCCUUCAUAGCAUUUGUGCAGAUGGAAAGCUGAAGAGUUACUUUUAAUCUGAGCAGAGAUUCGGGACAUAAAUUUGAAGUGCUCAGCUCACAGACUCUGUGGAGGGACUCUGCCCAGGUACCCCCGUUGCUCUUUUACAGCCCGAGGCUCUUCCCUCAGUUCCGAGAACGGAGCAGAAACUGCUGCUGGCGGCUGGUGGGGCCGAGUCCCAGCUCGGGGGCAAGACCCCAGCACCUCAGCAAAAGCUGCUGGGAAGCACCUGGGUUUUCCUCCACUGCCUGCCCUUGGGCCAGGCUUGUGUCCCCUGGGCUGGGCCUUGGCCCCACCGAGCGUCUCAGCAGCGAGUCCUGGUCCUCGGCGUGCCCGGGGCGGCGGAGGGCGGCCGGGGUGCUCGGAGACACCAGGUGCCUCGGAACUGGGGGGCUCUGGGCACGGCAGGGCUGCUGCGGCGGGGGGAACCCUCCGGCGGGUUUGCGUUGGUUCUUCCUGAGCAUUAGUAAUGCCCGUGGUGUUUGUCGUCCUCGUCUCGUGCCUGCUAGCCCGCGGCGCUGGGUGCUUUGGGUCACCAGGGUGCAGCUCUGGAUUCUUUCUGUCAUUCUUAAAUCCCGAGCUUUUGCCGCCUUCCAUCACGCAAAGACCAAAGGGGGAACACGGCGUUUUUGGGUUGAUCCGUGCGAUGUAGCCCGUCAGAUCACCAGCUGCAGGGCAACCGGUGCCGGCGAGCUGCUGGGCCGGUGACACCCGUUGUCCCAGCGCUGUGGUGUCGCCUGCGAGGGCGAGGGGGGCUCCCGGCCUGUGGCUUUGCA